Molecule: ribosomal RNA, 935 nt
Filed under: Escherichia coli
Lineage: Bacteria; Pseudomonadati; Pseudomonadota; Gammaproteobacteria; Enterobacterales; Enterobacteriaceae
Also listed under: 1 other name
Description: bacterial LSU rRNA
Rfam family: Bacterial large subunit ribosomal RNA
Source: RNAcentral
AGCCCAGAGCCUGAAUCAGUGUGUGUGUUAGUGGAAGCGUCUGGAAAGGCGCGCGAUACAGGGUGACAGCCCCGUACACAAAAAUGCACAUGCUGUGAGCUCGAUGAGUAGGGCGGGACACGUGGUAUCCUGUCUGAAUAUGGGGGGACCAUCCUCCAAGGCUAAAUACUCCUGACUGACCGAUAGUGAACCAGUACCGUGAGGGAAAGGCGAAAAGAACCCCGGCGAGGGGAGUGAAAAAGAACCUGAAACCGUGUACGUACAAGCAGUGGGAGCACAGAGCAAUCUGUGUGACUGCGUACCUUUUGUAUAAUGGGUCAGCGACUUAUAUUCUGUAGCAAGGUUAACCGAAUAGGGGAGCCGAAGGGAAACCGAGUCUUAACCGGGCGUUAAGUUGCAGGGUAUAGACCCGAAACCCGGUGAUCUAGCCAUGGGCAGGUUGAAGGUUGGGUAACACUAACUGGAGGACCGAACCGACUAAUGUUGAAAAAUUAGCGGAUGACUUGUGGCUGGGGGUGAAAGGCCAAUCAAACCGGGAGAUAGCUGGUUCUCCCCGAAAGCUAUUUAGGUAGCGCCUCGUGAAUUCAUCUCCGGGGGUAGAGCACUGUUUCGGCAAGGGGGUCAUCCCGACUUACCAACCCGAUGCAAACUGCGAAUACCGGAGAAUGUUAUCACGGGAGACACACGGCGGGUGCUAACGUCCGUCGUGAAGAGGGAAACAACCCAGACCGCCAGCUAAGGUCCCAAAGUCAUGGUUAAGUGGGAAACGAUGUGGGAAGGCCCAGACAGCCAGGAUGUUGGCUUAGAAGCAGCCAUCAUUUAAAGAAAGCGUAAUAGCUCACUGGUCGAGUCGGCCUGCGCGGAAGAUGUAACGGGGCUAAACCAUGCACCGAAGCUGCGGCAGCGACACUGUGUGUUGUUGGGUAGGGGAGCGU